AUGUCCGUGUGCCAUCUUCUCUUGGGAAGACCUUGGCAAUUCGACCGCGGCGUCAUCCACAACGGAAGAACUAACCACUAUAGCUUCAAGAUGAAGGGCAAGGAGUAUGUGCUUCGACCAAUGUCACCAAGCCAAGUGAUCGCCGACAAGCAAGCAUCCACACAUCAUGGAGAUACUAGUGAGAGAGUGAACCACCACAAAGAAAGUGAGCGCCACAAGCCCAAAUUGAGCGACUCUUCGCCAAGAGAGAAAAACUUAGUCCUUCUAGCCACAAAACGAGAGAUGAAAGAAGUGUGUGAGAACCCAUCAAGUGUCAUCCACUAUGUCCUACUUUGCAAAGAUGAGGUGGCAAAAACUAACACUCCUAAUCCUCUUCCUCUAGUGUUCUCUAACUUGUUGAAGGAAUUCGAGGAUGUCUUCCCCGAUGAGCUACCUCCCGGUCUUCCUCCUCUACGUGGCAUUGAACAUAGGAUCUACCUCAUCCCCGGCGCACCACUUCCAAACAAGGCUCCAUACCGUGUCAACCCCGAAGAAACUAGGGAGAUCCAAUGGCAAGUCCAACAACUCAUCGACAACGGUCAUGUACGUGAAAGCUUAAGUCCUUGUGACAUCCCGGUUAUCCUUGUGCCCAAGCAAGACGGUAGUUUUCGCAUGUGCUCCGAUUGUAGACCCAUCAAUGCUAUCACCAUUCGUUAUAGGCACCCCAUACCUCGCCUUGAUGAUAUGCUAGAUGAGCUUAGCGGUGCCACCAUUUUCUUGAAAAUUGAUCUUAAAAGUGGCUAUUACUAA
RNAcentral lists this ribosomal RNA (789 nucleotides) under Triticum aestivum (bread wheat). RNAcentral's name for it is "partial small subunit ribosomal RNA". The record is from RNAcentral. Lineage: Eukaryota; Viridiplantae; Streptophyta; Magnoliopsida; Poales; Poaceae.